GUCUUUUCACGACUUUCGUGCCGUAGCUAACGCAUUAAGCGCCCCGCCUGGGGAGUACGGCCGCAAGGCUAAAACUCAAAGGAAUUGACGGGGGCCCGCACAAGCGGCGGAGCAUGUGGAUUAAUUCGAUGCAACGCGAAGAACCUUACCUGGGCUUGACAUACACCGGAUCGGGCUAGAGAUAGUCUUUCCCUUUGUGGCUGGUGUACAGGUGGUGCAUGGUUGUCGUCAGCUCGUGUCGUGAGAUGUUGGGUUAAGUCCCGCAACGAGCGCAACCCUUGUCUUAUGUUGCCAGCAUUUGGUUGGGGACUCAUGAGAGACUGCCGGGGUCAACUCGGAGGAAGGUGGGGAUGACGUCAAAUCAUCAUGCCCCUUAUGUCCAGGGCUUCACACACGCUACAAUGGUCGGUACAACGCGCAGCGACACUGUGAGGUGGAGCGAAUCGCUGAAAGCCGGCCUUAGUUCGGAUUGGGGUCUGCAACUCGACCCCAUGAAGUCGGAGUCGCUAGUAAUCGCAGAUCAGCAAUGCUGCGGUGAUACGUUCCCGGGC
RNAcentral lists this ribosomal RNA (551 nucleotides) under uncultured bacterium. Its description in RNAcentral is "bacterial SSU rRNA". It matches the Rfam family "Bacterial small subunit ribosomal RNA", at positions 828 to 1379 of the family's 1533-position model. The record is from RNAcentral.